Molecule: ribosomal RNA, 547 nt
Filed under: Neisseria gonorrhoeae
Lineage: Bacteria; Pseudomonadati; Pseudomonadota; Betaproteobacteria; Neisseriales; Neisseriaceae
Description: bacterial SSU rRNA
Rfam family: Bacterial small subunit ribosomal RNA
Source: RNAcentral
AGAUUGAACAUAAGAGUUUGAUCCUGGCUCAGAUUGAACGCUGGCGGCAUGCUUUACACAUGCAAGUCGGACGGCAGCACAGGGAAGCUUGCUUCUCGGGUGGCGAGUGGCGAACGGGUGAGUAACAUAUCGGAACGUACCGGGUAGCGGGGGAUAACUGAUCGAAAGAUCAGCUAAUACCGCAUACGUCUUGAGAGGGAAAGCAGGGGACCUUCGGGCCUUGCGCUAUCCGAGCGGCCGAUAUCUGAUUAGCUGGUUGGCGGGGUAAAGGCCCACCAAGGCGACGAUCAGUAGCGGGUCUGAGAGGAUGAUCCGCCACACUGGGACUGAGACACGGCCCAGACUCCUACGGGAGGCAGCAGUGGGGAAUUUUGGACAAUGGGCGCAAGCCUGAUCCAGCCAUGCCGCGUGUCUGAAGAAGGCCUUCGGGUUGUAAAGGACUUUUGUCAGGGAAGAAAAGGCCGUUGCCAAUAUCGGCGGCCGAUGACGGUACCUGAAGAAUAAGCACCGGCUAACUACGUGCCAGCAGCCGCGGUAAUACGUAGGG